RNAcentral lists this ribosomal RNA (125 nucleotides) under Thaxteriella pezizula. RNAcentral describes it as "partial large subunit ribosomal RNA". Lineage: Eukaryota; Fungi; Ascomycota; Dothideomycetes; Tubeufiales; Tubeufiaceae. The record is from RNAcentral.
CGGUAAUAGCUCAAAUUUGAAAUCUGGCCUCUCGGGGUCCGAGUUGUAAUUUGUAGAGGAUGUUUUGGGUACCGCCCCGGUCUAAAUUUCUUGGAACAGGACGUCACAGAGGGUGAGAAUCCCGU